UCCGGUUUGGCACCGGCAGUCUCCGAUGAGUCCCCGGCUUUACCCGCUGGCAACAUCGGACAGGGGUUGCGCUCGUUGCGCCACUUAAGGCAACACCUCACGGCACGAGCUGACGACAGCCCUGCACCACCUGUGCAGGCUCCGAAGAGCACCCGCUUUCACGGGUUUCACCCUGCAUGUCAAGCCCAGGUAAGGUUCUUCGCGUCGCAUCGAAUUAAGCCGCAUGCUCCGCCGCUUGUGCGGGCCCCCGUCAAUUCCUUUGAGUUUUAGCCUUGCGGCCGUACUCCCCAGGCGGGGUGCUUAAUGCGUUAGCUUCGGCACGGACGGAGUCGACACCGCCCACACCUAGCACCCAACGUUUACGGCUGGGACUAC
RNAcentral lists this unclassified non-coding RNA (375 nucleotides) under uncultured Actinomycetes bacterium. RNAcentral's name for it is "uncultured actinobacterium contains 16S-23S intergenic spacer region". The record is from RNAcentral. Lineage: Bacteria; Bacillati; Actinomycetota; Actinomycetes.